This 460-nucleotide ribosomal RNA is filed under the name uncultured bacterium. Its description in RNAcentral is "partial 16S ribosomal RNA". It matches the Rfam family "Bacterial small subunit ribosomal RNA", at positions 338 to 795 of the family's 1533-position model. The record is from RNAcentral.
CCUACGGGUGGCUGCAGUGAGGAAUAUUGGUCAAUGGCCGGAAGUCUGAACCAGCCAAGUCGCGUGAGGGAUGACUGCCCUAUGGGUUGUAAACUUCUUUUAUAUGGGAAUAAAAUAUUCCACGUGUGGCAUUUUGUCUGUACCUUAUGAAUAAGGAUCGGCUAACUCCGUGCCAGCAGCCGCGGUAAUACGGAGGAUCCGGGCGUUAUCCGGAUUUAUUGGGUUUAAAGGGAGGGUAGGUGGAUUUUUAAGGUAGUUGUUAAAGUUUGGGGAUUAACCGUAAAAUUGCAAUUGAAACUGGCAGUCUCGAGUACAGUAGAGGUAGGCGGAAUAAGUGGAGUAGCGGUGAAAUGCUUAGAUAUAACGAAGAACUCCGAUAGCGAAGGCAGCUUACUAGACUGCAACUGACACUGAGGCUCGAAAGCGUGGGUAGCAAACAGGAUUAGAUACCCGUGUAGUC